This 29-nucleotide non-coding RNA is filed under the name Mus musculus (house mouse). The record is from RNAcentral. Lineage: Eukaryota; Metazoa; Chordata; Mammalia; Rodentia; Muridae.
UAGAAACUGUCACCAUGCAGGGCGGUCUC